Molecule: long non-coding RNA, 684 nt
Filed under: Homo sapiens (human)
Lineage: Eukaryota; Metazoa; Chordata; Mammalia; Primates; Hominidae
Description: HSALNT0343922
Source: RNAcentral
CAGGUGAGGAAACAGGGACACACCUUCCCGGAGGAGGGGCAGGGCCCCUCCGCGCGCGAGCCCCAUUGGUGUGAAAGAAGCUCCCGCGUCAGAGCUGGGAAGUGCCGGGCCGGCGGGGAGGGGAGCCCGGGCGCACGGGCCAGGCCGCGGGCUGUCCCAGGGAGCCCCGAGGGCGCGGUGCGCGGGCGCAGGUCGGGCGCAGGCGGGGUGACCCGGGGAAGGGGCGCGCACAGAGACAGAGGGAGCCAGCCGGGCCCCACGGUGUCCUCGGACGCCUCCGAAAUCUCCCUGCGUGUUUGUUUCUUCGGAGCUUCACCGGAGCCUGACUCUGGAACCGGCCUGUCUGCCUGCUGCAGUCUGUCAUUCAACAUUUAUUCAACCAAAAAUACUAAGUCAGCUCUAUACAAACUAAUGGAAGGAUACAGCUAUGCAAAUAUAGAACACUAAAGUGUUACAUGACAGAUGUAUGAGGGGAAGAGUGCUGGAUUCAGAGCCCACCUCAGGGGAAGACAGGACCCUCUCCAAGAUGGUUUCCCUAGAAGCUACUACCUCUCCCUGGAGGGUGGAGAUAUUUGCUGGUCAAAGCAAGAAGGCCCUCUGCAGAUGCUGACACCUUGAUAUUGGACUUCCCAGAUUCCAGAACUCUGAGAAAUAAAUUUCUAUUUUAAAUAAAUUACCCAGUCU